This 159-nucleotide ribosomal RNA is filed under the name Pseudocercospora griseola f. griseola. Its description in RNAcentral is "5.8S ribosomal RNA". It matches the Rfam family "5.8S ribosomal RNA". From Rfam's summary of the family: 5.8S ribosomal RNA (5.8S rRNA) is a component of the large subunit of the eukaryotic ribosome. It is transcribed by RNA polymerase I as part of the 45S precursor that also contains 18S and 28S rRNA. Lineage: Eukaryota; Fungi; Ascomycota; Dothideomycetes; Mycosphaerellales; Mycosphaerellaceae. The record is from RNAcentral.
AAACUUUCAACAACGGAUCUCUUGGUUCUGGCAUCGAUGAAGAACGCAGCGAAAUGCGAUAAGUAAUGUGAAUUGCAGAAUUCAGUGAAUCAUCGAAUCUUUGAACGCACAUUGCGCCCUUUGGUAUUCCGAAGGGCAUGGCCUGUUCGAGCGUCAUUU